Molecule: ribosomal RNA, 64 nt
Filed under: uncultured Durusdinium
Lineage: Eukaryota; Dinophyceae; Suessiales
Description: partial 18S ribosomal RNA
Rfam family: Eukaryotic small subunit ribosomal RNA
Source: RNAcentral
CACUUAGAGGAAGGAGAAGUCAAGUCGUAACAAGGUUUCCGUAGGUGAACCUGCGGAAGGAUCA